GGGGGCGUAGCUCAACUGGCAGAGCAAGAGACUUUUAAUCUCGAGGUUGUGGGUUCGAUUCCCACCGCCCUCA
Molecule: transfer RNA, 73 nt
Filed under: Gemmatimonadota bacterium
Lineage: Bacteria; Pseudomonadati; Gemmatimonadota
Description: Gemmatimonadetes bacterium (sediment metagenome) tRNA-Lys
Rfam family: tRNA
About the family: Transfer RNA (tRNA) molecules are approximately 80 nucleotides in length. Their secondary structure includes four short double-helical elements and three loops (D, anti-codon, and T loops).
Source: RNAcentral